UAAAUGUAACGCCGCGGAUACUCCAGUAAGUUUUACUUACGUAAGUAGCUUACAUUAUUAACUUACGACUUUAUUAAUGUACCUGAAUGCUUUUGAC
This is a long non-coding RNA of Maniola jurtina (meadow brown), 97 nucleotides long. RefSeq lists it as uncharacterized. The transcript is spliced from 3 exons. The record is from RefSeq and is a predicted model, not a curated record. NCBI's taxonomy places the organism in Eukaryota, Metazoa, Arthropoda, Insecta, Lepidoptera, Nymphalidae.